Molecule: ribosomal RNA, 371 nt
Filed under: uncultured bacterium
Lineage: Bacteria
Description: bacterial SSU rRNA
Rfam family: Bacterial small subunit ribosomal RNA
Source: RNAcentral
GUAGGUGGCAAGCGUUGUCCGGAUUUACUGGGCGUAAAGAGCGCGCAGGCGGUCGUUCAAGUCGCGUGUGAAAGCCCCCGGCUCAACUGGGGAGGGUCACGCGAUGCUGAUCGACUCGAAGGCAGGAGAGGGAAGUGGAAUUCCCGGUGUAGUGGUGAAAUGCGUAGAUAUCGGGAGGAACACCAGUGGCGAAGGCGACUUCCUGGCCUGUUCUUGACGCUGAGGCGCGAAAGCUAGGGGAGCAAACGGGAUUAGAUACCCCGGUAGUCCUAGCCGUAAACGAUGGACACUAGGUGUUGGUGGUAUCAACCCCGCCAGUGCCGAAGCUAACGCAUUAAGUGUCCCGCCUGGGGAGUACGGCCGCAAGGCUA